Molecule: ribosomal RNA, 293 nt
Filed under: uncultured bacterium
Lineage: Bacteria
Description: partial 16S ribosomal RNA
Rfam family: Archaeal small subunit ribosomal RNA
Source: RNAcentral
GUGCCAGCGGCCGCGGUAAUACCGGCAGCCCGAGUGAUGGCCGAUAUUAUUGGGCCUAAAGCGUUCGUAGCCGGCCAGUCAAGUCUGUUGGGAAAUCCACGCGCUCAACGCGUGGGCGUCCAGCGGAAACUGUCUGGCUUGGGACCGGAAGGCGCGACGGGUACGUCCGGGGUAGGAGUGAAAUCCCGUAAUCCUGGACGGACCGCCGAUGGCGAAAGCACGUCGCGAGAACGGAUCCGACAGUGAGGGACGAAAGCCAGGGUCUCGAACCGGAUUAGAUACCCCGGUAGUCC